Molecule: ribosomal RNA, 289 nt
Filed under: uncultured Parcubacteria group bacterium
Lineage: Bacteria
Description: partial 16S ribosomal RNA
Rfam family: Bacterial small subunit ribosomal RNA
Source: RNAcentral
ACAUAAGUCAUUCCCACUUAAAGAUUUAUCGCCUUGAGAGGGGCCUAUGGCCUAUCAGCUAGUUGGUGAGGUAACGGCUCACCAAGGCUACGACGGGUAGCGGGCGUGAGAGCGCGACCCGCCUCACUGGGACUGAGACACUGCCCAGACUCCUACGGGAGGCUGCAGUCAAGAAUCUUCCCCAAUGGCCGAAAGGCUGAGGGAGCGACGCCGCGUGGUCGAAGAAGCCCUUCGGGGUGUAAAUUACCUUUUCUCAGGGACGAACACAUGACGGUACCUGAGGAAUAAG